Molecule: RNA transcript, 1334 nt
Organism: Nomascus leucogenys (northern white-cheeked gibbon)
Lineage: Eukaryota; Metazoa; Chordata; Mammalia; Primates; Hylobatidae
Gene: PHPT1
Gene name: phosphohistidine phosphatase 1
Exons: 4
Source: RefSeq, a predicted model, not a curated record
GGCGGUGGAGAGGGUAGAGGGGGAGGCCUUCGGGCGGUGGAGAGGGUAGAGGGGGAGGCCUUCGGGCGGUGGAGAGGGGAGGGUGGUCUUCGGACCACGUGCAGAACAGGAGGUCACGGCUGGCACGUCCCUCAGGCUUCCCUCCUUGCCCCAGCCUCGCGGGCCUCCUAACUGCCCCGUUCCAAGGGUGCCACCAGACCCCGCUGGAGAGGAACUUUUCUGUUGGCUGGAUUUAAUCACCACCCAUUCCCGGUUCCGCGUUUCCUUUAAGUGGGGCUGGCGGAGCCGCAAGGCGGCAAGGAACUGGAUUGCGAUUGAGCCCGCCUCCCGCAGUACAAGCGGCCGCCGGGUCGGGUGGGAGGAGGGGACUCCGGGACAAGGAACAUGGCGGCGGCGGACCUCGCUCACAUUCCUGAUGUGGACAUCGACUCCGACGGCGUCUUCAAGUAUGUGCUGAUCCGAGUCCACUCGGCUCCGCGCUCCGGGGCUCCGGCUGCAGAGAGCAAGGAGAUCGUGCGCGGCUACAAGUGGGCUGAGUACCAUGCGGACAUCUACGACAAAGUGUCGGGCGACAUGCAGAAGCAGGGCUGUGACUGUGAGUGUCUGGGCGGCGGGCGCAUCUCCCACCAGAGUCAGGACAAGAAGAUUCACGUGUACGGCUACUCCAUGGUGAGCCACAGCCCCGUCCCGCCCUGCUGGAGGCCCCAGUACCAGCUUCGAGGCCCACCUGAGCCUGCUGCCCUGACCCGUGGCCCCAGCUGAGCACGCAGACUUCCCGGGGUUCUCCCAGGGUCGGCGGCAGAGCCCUCCCUCCAGGGCCCAUUGUGUUCCUGCAUUCUCCCAUGGAGCACACGCCAGACCUGAGGGGUGGGACGGAGACCCCCAGACAUGGCCGGCCGUCUCCUCUCCCUGCCCUGGGAGGCCUUGCUGGGCCCCCCAGAGGCGAUCAGUACCUGGGUGGAGCUCAGAGUCCCCGCCUGUGCGCUUCACAAAAACCACCAGCAGAUGAGACCCACGUGCGUCCCUCUGGGCGCCUCAGGCCCCAGGAUCCACCAUCAAAGCCUAUGGUCCUGCCCAGCACGCCAUUUCAACUGAGAAAAUCAAAGCCAAGUACCCCGACUACGAGGUCACCUGGGCUAACGACGGCUACUGAGCAUUCCCAGCCCGGGGCCUGCUGCCUCCAGCAGCCACUUUUGAGCCCCGGCCUUUGCCUGCACUCCUCCUGCGGGGCUGGCCCUGCCUGCUCUUGCGGCAGCCCCUGAUGACGUGCUGUCCACCAGGCCUUGGAGACAGGCUAGCCUGGCCACAGAAUUAAACGUGUUGCCACACCUGCC